Long non-coding RNA from Pieris napi, 533 nucleotides. RefSeq lists it as uncharacterized. NCBI's taxonomy places the organism in Eukaryota, Metazoa, Arthropoda, Insecta, Lepidoptera, Pieridae. The transcript is spliced from 3 exons. The record is from RefSeq and is a predicted model, not a curated record.
ACUAAUAAAAAAUCACUAUACAUGCGUUAUGACAAGGUGAUAGUAAUUCAGUGAAUAGAGCUUGUACAGGGCAUAAACUCCUCUUUGACCAAUAAUCGAUGUGUAUUGGUUGAAUAACAAAACGACCCUUAUUUAUUGUUACCCUGGCAACCCACCGUGUUUGAUUGACGUUUGAUUUAAUAAUUUUGAUACGACUCAUAAUUCUAAUCUAAUAGAAACUCCAAAACCUCAGACAAAGAGGACUAGAAUUUUACAUAAAAAGCCGCGUUCUGCAGUACAAAAGUUAGAAGAGGCAUCUCAAAUAGUGGAAAGUGCCAAACUCCGCAACACGGUAGUGUUCCAGUGUUUCCAGGAAGAGCACGAAACAAAACAAAGGCAGAUGGCUGAAACACAUGAGCUCAAACAGAAGCGACUCGCCGAAGCUCACGAAAGGGCUAGACAGAAGCAUCUUCUAAGGCUCAAAUUGUUACAGCAGCAAUUAAAUAAAUAAUUAUAUACUUAUAAAAAAAAUAAAACCCCCGUUUUAAAUGAAA